UGAUGAGGUAGAGGUUGCGAUCGUUAAGAGUAAUGCUCCGGAGGCUGGAAGAGCCUAAGAUGGGGCAAGAAAGGAACGACCGCCGAAGUCCGCGCUAUCGCUUCCGAUAGACGGGUUGGGGCUGUUGCCGAAAGGCGCAGCACUGUCAUGCAAGGAUUACCCGUCCUAUGCAUGAUGCGCUAUCUUUUUU
This 190-nucleotide non-coding RNA is filed under the name Paenibacillus sp. RNAcentral describes it as "Lysine sequence". It matches the Rfam family "Lysine riboswitch aptamer". Rfam says of the family: Riboswitches are metabolite binding domains within certain messenger RNAs that serve as precision sensors for their corresponding targets. RNAcentral also lists the same sequence under 1 other name. Lineage: Bacteria; Bacillati; Bacillota; Bacilli; Caryophanales; Paenibacillaceae. The record is from RNAcentral.